Molecule: ribosomal RNA, 292 nt
Filed under: uncultured bacterium
Lineage: Bacteria
Description: partial 16S ribosomal RNA
Rfam family: Bacterial small subunit ribosomal RNA
Source: RNAcentral
GUGGAUUAGAUACCCUGGUAGUCCUAGCCCUAAACGGUGCACGUUUGCUGUAAAAGGAAUCGACCCCUUUUGUGGCGAAGCUAACGCGAUAAACGUGCCGCCUGGGGAGUACGGUCGCAAGAUUAAAACUCAAAGAAAUUGACGGGGGCCUGCACAAGCGGUGGAGUAUGUGGCUUAAUUCGAUGCAACGCGAAGAACCUUACCUGGCCUUGACAUGCAAGUGGUAGAACCAUGAAAGUGGGACGAUCCCGCAAGGGAAGCUUGCACAGGUGCUGCAUGGCUGUCGUCAACU